UAACGAUGAAGAGUUUGAUCCUGGCUCAGGAUGAACGCUAGCGGCAGGCCUAACACAUGCAAGUCGAACGGUAACAGGAAAGAGCUUGCUCUUUUGCUGACGAGUGGCGCACGGGUGCGUAACGCGUAUACAAUCUACCUUUUACAGUGGGAUAGCCCAGAGAAAUUUGGAUUAAUAUCGCAUAGUAUUAUUAAUUGGCAUCGAUUGAUAAUUAAAGU
RNAcentral lists this ribosomal RNA (218 nucleotides) under Winogradskyella sp. RNAcentral describes it as "partial 16S ribosomal RNA". It matches the Rfam family "Bacterial small subunit ribosomal RNA", at positions 1 to 207 of the family's 1533-position model. Lineage: Bacteria; Pseudomonadati; Bacteroidota; Flavobacteriia; Flavobacteriales; Flavobacteriaceae. The record is from RNAcentral.